RNAcentral lists this ribosomal RNA (252 nucleotides) under uncultured bacterium. RNAcentral describes it as "partial 16S ribosomal RNA". It matches the Rfam family "Bacterial small subunit ribosomal RNA", at positions 525 to 776 of the family's 1533-position model. The record is from RNAcentral.
ACGUAGGGGGCGAGCGUUGUCCGGAGUUACUGGGCGUAAAGGGCAUGCAGGCGGUCCGACACGUUUUGUGUGACAGCGGGUGGCUUAACUACCCGAGGAUACGAAAGACGGUUGGACUUGAGGACUCGAGAGGGACACGGAAUUCCGGGUGGAGUGGUGAAAUGCGUAGAGAUCCGGAGGAACACCGAAGGCGAAGGCAGUGUCCUGGCGAGUGACUGACGCUGAGGUGCGAAAGCCAGGGGAGCGAACGGG